AAAAGAUGAGUCAUUUCUACCGCUUUUUAUAUUUCUGUUGAAGAUAAUGGCUGAGACUCCUACAAAGACGACGACUUCUACAGCGGCGGCGGAUGCGGAGGCAUCGAAGACUCCGGCGACGAUGACGUCAUAAUAAUAUAAGUAUGCCGUUCAUCCCUUUGCCAUAUCUGGCUCUUCAAUCCAUCGAUCCAUUUCCAGAAGCUUCACUCGAGAAUCUUCGCCUCUGCGCUUUCCAUUUUGCCUGUUCGACUCUCAAGUCUCAACGAUUAUUCUCAUGAAUCGCAAGAACGUAUGGUCUUAUGGGUUUUACUCAUUGCUUUUGCCCUAGGAUUUGAGGCAGGGACAGAAAAGCAUUAUGGUUCCCUCUGAUAAUGACCAAGUGUGCAGGAUGAUGCAGACUUUCAUGAAGAUUUUCAGUGAAUAGGAAUAAUAUACCAGAAGGGAUAAAACAUUCUGGGAAUAGAAAACCAAACCAAAAGAAAAAAUAGGAUUGAUACAUUUUGAAGAAUUGACACAAUUAGAGCCCAUCAUGUCAAGGAUGAAAGACUGCCUUCAGUAGAAAGCCUUCAAACAAACUAUACAAUGUCCAUUAUCACUGAAACUAUGAAGGAAGCAAGUCAAAAGUUGUACAUUUGAAUCUAUUGAAUAUGGUAUCCUCUAAACUCUACCUUUAUUUGCAUCAAUAUGCUUCCUCGUGCAACCUAUGGUAACUGAUCCAUUAAACUUCUUCAUGGUUGUGUCCUGCCUUAACCUUUUGACUUUCCCAGCCUCAUCCAAGAAUGCAUUCUGCAUUCCCAGCCUCAUCCCAGAAUGCAUUCUGCAUUCUGGAUUCUCAAAAACAUGAAAAACAUUGAAAACAACAUACCUCUUGAUAAUAGAAGAAUACUUCUUUACAUUUGUUGGUUCCCCCACUAUUCGUUCCACGAUUUCACUUACCAUAUUGCUCUUCUUGUAUUCAAUGUAGAGAUAUCACCUUGCUUCUCAUGGUUGUGAAGCAAUGACUUGAUCUCAGAUGACCCUUUCCUUUCCAUCACCACAUAUGUAUGUAUCACCCUUACCUUCAUUGCUCUUCUUGUUUUGAAGGUUGACAAAUCACGUCCCAAAAUUAAGAGCCCCAUAAUGGAAUAGACUUUAUUGGGUAGCAACUGAAGAGUUGCUUCUGGAUACGCUUCCCUGAAGAUUUGAAUCGUCUCAUCGUCUCGUGAAAUGGAAUAGUUGCAUUGCUAUCUGUAAAUAUUAAUUGUACUUGUAACCUUUUGUAUUUACAUUUACACUGCUAUAAAUAAACCUACACAUUCUGGAUU
Ipomoea nil (Japanese morning glory) is the source of this 1304-nucleotide long non-coding RNA. RefSeq lists it as uncharacterized. The transcript has 5 exons. Lineage: Eukaryota; Viridiplantae; Streptophyta; Magnoliopsida; Solanales; Convolvulaceae. The record is from RefSeq and is a predicted model, not a curated record.